AGAGUUUGAUCCUGGCUCAGAACGUACGCUGGCGGCACGCCUAACACAUGCAAGUCGAACGAAGUAGCAAUACUUAGUGGCAGACGGGUGAGUAACAUGUGGGUAUCUACCCUUUGGCCUGGAAUAACACGAGGAAACUUGUGCUAAUACCGGAUAAGUCUUUACGGAGAAAGCUUUAUGCACCAUUGGAGGAGCCCGCACUUGAUUAGUUUGUUGGUAGGGUAAUGGCCUACCAAGACUAUGAUCAAUAGCUGAUUUGAGAGGAUGAUCAGCCACAUUGGGACUGAGACACGGCCCAAACUCCUACGGGAGGCAGCAGUGGGGAAUCUUGCACAAUGGAGGAAACUCUGAUGCAGCGAUGCCGCGUGAGUGAAGAAGGCCUUUGGGUUGUAAAGCUCUUUCGUCGGGGAAGAAAAUGACUGUACCCGAAUAAGAAGGCCCGGCUAACUUCGUGCCAGCAGCCGCGGUAAUACGAAGGGACCUAGCGUAGUUCGGAAUUACUGGGCUUAAAGAGUUCGUAGGUGGUUGAAAAAGUUGGUGGUGAAAUCCCAGAGCUUAACUCUGGAACUGCCAUCAAAACUUUUCAGCCAGAGUAUGAUAGAGGAAAGCAGAAUUUCUAGUGUAGAGGUGAAAUUCGUAGAUAUUAGAAAGAAUACCAAUUGCGAAGGCAGCUUUCUGGAUCAUUACUGACACUGAGGAACGAAAGCAUGGGUAGCGAAGAGGAUUAGAUACCCUCGUAGUCCAUGCCGUAAACGAUGUGUGUUAGACGUUGGAAAUUUA
Molecule: ribosomal RNA, 780 nt
Filed under: uncultured bacterium
Lineage: Bacteria
Description: bacterial SSU rRNA
Rfam family: Bacterial small subunit ribosomal RNA
Source: RNAcentral